This 263-nucleotide ribosomal RNA is filed under the name uncultured bacterium. RNAcentral's name for it is "partial 16S ribosomal RNA". It matches the Rfam family "Bacterial small subunit ribosomal RNA", at positions 333 to 588 of the family's 1533-position model. The record is from RNAcentral.
UUGCCCCUACGGGGGGCAGCAGUCGGGAAUAUUGCACAAUGGAGGAAACUCUGAUGCAGUGACGCCGCGUGAGUGAAGAAGGGUUUCGGCUCGUAAAGCUCUGUUGGUAGUGAAGAAAGAUAGAGGUAGUAACUGGCCUUUAUUUGACGGUAAUUACUUAGAAAGUCACGGCUAACUACGUGCCAGCAGCCGCGGUAAUACGUAGGUGGCAAGCGUUGUCCGGAUUUAUUGGGCGUAAAGCGAGUGCAGGCGGUUCAAUAAGU